This 268-nucleotide ribosomal RNA is filed under the name uncultured bacterium. Its description in RNAcentral is "partial 16S ribosomal RNA". It matches the Rfam family "Bacterial small subunit ribosomal RNA", at positions 85 to 354 of the family's 1533-position model. The record is from RNAcentral.
UUGAUGGCGGCCGGCGCACGGGUGAGUAACACGUAUCCAACCUGCCGAUUAUUCCGGGAUAGCCUUUCGAAAGAAAGAUUAAUACCGGAUAGCAUAACGAGAAGGCAUCUUCUUGUUAUUAAAGAAUUUCGAUAAUCGAUGGGGAUGCGUUCCAUUAGUUUGUUGGCGGGGUAACGGCCCACCAAGACAUCGAUGGAUAGGGGUUCUGAGAGGAAGGUCCCCCACAUUGGAACUGAGACACGGUCCAAACUCCUACGGAAGGCAGCAG